This 327-nucleotide ribosomal RNA is filed under the name uncultured bacterium. Its description in RNAcentral is "bacterial SSU rRNA". It matches the Rfam family "Bacterial small subunit ribosomal RNA", at positions 28 to 334 of the family's 1533-position model. The record is from RNAcentral.
GAUGAACGCUGGCGGCGCGCCUAACACAUGCAAGUCGAACGGAGCUUGCUUGUCAGAUUCUUUCGGGGUGACGACCUGUAAGCUUAGUGGCGAACGGGUGAGUAACACGUGAGUAACCUGCCCCAGAGUGGGGGACAACAGUUGGAAACGACUGCUAAUACCGCAUAAGCCCACGACCUGGCAUCGGGUUGAGGGAAAAGGAGCAAUCCGCUUUGAGAUGGCCUCGCGUCCGAUUAGCUAGUUGGUGAGGUAACGGCCCACCAAGGCAACGAUCGGUAGCCGGACUGAGAGGUUGAACGGCCACAUUGGGACUGAGACACGGCCCAG